GACGAACGCUGGCGGCGUGCUUAACACAUGCGAGUCGAACGGAAAGGCCCUGCUUUUGUGGGGUGCUCGAGUGGCGAACGGGUGAGUAACACGUGAGUAACCUGCCCUUGACUGUGGGAUAACUUCAGGAAACUGGGGCUAAUACCGGAUAGGAGCUCCUGCUGAAUGGUGGGGGUUGGAAAGUUUCGGCGGUUGGGGAUGGACUCGCGGCUUAUCAGCUUGUUGGUGGGGUAGUGGCUUACCAAGGCUUUGACGGGUAGCCGGCCUGAGAGGGUGACCGGCCACAUUGGGACUGAGAUACGGCCCAGACUCCUACGGGAGGCAGCAGUGGGGAAUAUUGCACAAUGGGCGGAAGCCUGAUGCAGCAACGCCGCGUGCGGGAUGACGGCCUUCGGGUUGUAAACCGCUUUCGCCUGUGACGAAGCGUGAGUGACGGUAAUGGGUAAAGAAGCACCGGCUAACUACGUG
Molecule: ribosomal RNA, 468 nt
Filed under: uncultured bacterium
Lineage: Bacteria
Description: partial 16S ribosomal RNA
Rfam family: Bacterial small subunit ribosomal RNA
Source: RNAcentral